AGAGUUUGAUCCUGGCUCAGGACGAACGCUGGCGGCGUGCCUAAUACAUGCAAGUCGAACGCUUCUUUUUCCACCGGAGCUUGCUCCACCGGAAAAAGAGGAGUGGCGAACGGGUGAGUAACACGUGGGUAACCUGCCCAUCAGAAGGGGAUAACACUUGGAAACAGGUGCUAAUACCGUAUAACAAUCAAAACCGCAUGGUUUUGAUUUGAAAGGCGCUUUCGGGUGUCGCUGAUGGAUGGACCCGCGGUGCAUUAGCUAGUUGGUGAGGUAACGGCUCACCAAGGCCACGAUGCAUAGCCGACCUGAGAGGGUGAUCGGCCACAUUGGGACUGAGACACGGCCCAAACUCCUACGGGAGGCAGCAGUAGGGAAUCUUCGGCAAUGGACGAAAGUCUGACCGAGCAACGCCGCGUGAGUGAAGAAGGUUUUCGGAUCGUAAAACUCUGUUGUUAGAGAAGAACAAGGAUGAGAGUAACUGUUCAUCCCUUGACGGUAUCUAACCAGAAAGCCACGGCUAACUACGUGCCAGCAGCCGCGGUAAUACGUAGGUGGCAAGCGUUGUCCGGAUUUAUUGGGCGUAAAGCGAGCGCAGGCGGUUUCUUAAGUCUGAUGUGAAAGCCCCCGGCUCAACCGGGGAGGGUCAUUGGAAACUGGGAGACUUGAGUGCAGAAGAGGAGAGUGGAAUUCCAUGUGUAGCGGUGAAAUGCGUAGAUAUAUGGAGGAACACCAGUGGCGAAGGCGGCUCUCUGGUCUGUAACUGACGCUGAGGCUCGAAAGCGUGGGGAGCAAACAGGAUUAGAUACCCUGGUAGUCCACGCCGUAAACGAUGAGUGCUAAG
RNAcentral lists this ribosomal RNA (841 nucleotides) under Enterococcus faecium ERV26. Its description in RNAcentral is "bacterial SSU rRNA". It matches the Rfam family "Bacterial small subunit ribosomal RNA", at positions 8 to 820 of the family's 1533-position model. Lineage: Bacteria; Bacillati; Bacillota; Bacilli; Lactobacillales; Enterococcaceae. The record is from RNAcentral.